Molecule: ribosomal RNA, 321 nt
Filed under: Triticum aestivum (bread wheat)
Lineage: Eukaryota; Viridiplantae; Streptophyta; Magnoliopsida; Poales; Poaceae
Description: partial small subunit ribosomal RNA
Source: RNAcentral
AUGGCGGCGGGAGGCGUGUGGGUGUUCCGGAAGGACGGCGUGAUGGAGCUGGACGCAUCGACGACGGCGAAGAGCAAGGCGCUGGUGUACGUGCCGGCCAACGAGCCGAUGCGGUCGCUGCCGGCGCUGGAGCGGCGGCUGGGGUUGCUCGGGUGGGAGCGCUACUACGAGAACAUCGCCGUGGUGCAGCUUCACAGGCGGGACGGCGGCCUCGACCUCAUCACCCUCCCGCGCGACUUCGCCAGGCUGCGCUCCACCCACAUGUACGACGUCGUCGUCAAGAACCGAGGCCACUUCAGGGUCGUCGACCACGUCUACUAA